Ictidomys tridecemlineatus (thirteen-lined ground squirrel) is the source of this 1757-nucleotide non-coding RNA. The record is from RefSeq and is a predicted model, not a curated record. Lineage: Eukaryota; Metazoa; Chordata; Mammalia; Rodentia; Sciuridae.
GGUUCCUCCCCUCCCCUCCAACUCUGUGCCCUUCAUGCCUCCCCUCAAUUGCCCUCUAUCCAUAUUUUUCAUAAACCCCCUCCCUCUGCUCCCCUCCAUCCCCUUGCCCUCCCUUCCCCCUCCGCGCAGGGGCUGUUCGUGGGGGCUCGCUCCCCCCUCUCCUCCUCCCUCCUUCCCUCCCUCCCUACCCCCCUCGUUUAUUUGGAACGCUCGAAUAAGAAGUGCUGGGCUCUCGCUCAGACUUAAGGGGCGAGACUGACGCCCUCGCCAAAAGCUACCCUUCUCCACACCCCAGUCCCGCCGGCUUCAGACUUCUCGCUGAGAUUCCGCUAUACCGGCAGGCAGUGAGGUUGGGGGAGACCUGGUGGUUCCCUCAGCCCAUCAGAACAGCUGUCGGCGGGUUUAGAGUGGCCCCGACCGCAGGCACGUCCGGGCUGCUCUUCUGCGAAGGAGACUUGCUCCUCGGGAGGCUCCCCGCAAGGCUGAGCCCCCCGAGGCUGCUGUUUUGGGGAAGGGCGACCGCCAAGGUCCAGCUGGCCCGACAGGCAGAGUCGCCCCUCCGAGGAUGCGCCUGAGACUUGGGAGAGGAAGGAGGAAAGAGAAGCGCCCCGGCAAAGGGGCCGUCGAUUUUUUUUUUUUUUUUUUUAUUUCUGUGCUUUAAUGGAAGCCAUCAGUUAGUUCUCAGAAGACAGGGCUGGCUGAGGCAGCCCGCACGGCGCUGCUAGAAAGCGCCCGGGUGAAACCUGCGGCCAACUGCGAUGUGUCCAGGUAUCCUAGGGGGCGGCCACUUUUUGUAAUACCAGGACACAAAAUAGUCUCCAGGGGUGGGAGAUAUGAUUACUGUGUUUACCUGUUGACAAAAGGGAAAUGCAAACUAUAGCCUAACGUGACAUCGUUUGCAAAGGUAGCUUUCAUUAGACAAAAGUCAAUUUUACCUUCCCGCAAAACCCGUCUGAACCUUUGGAACUUUUAUUUGCGGCAAUUUGGCGCCCUCUGGCUGUAUUUGGAUUAUUUUCAUGUUCGCCUACGUUUCAGCCAAGGAAAAUGAUCAACUUGCGGGUUGUCCUACAGGGCGGAUGCCCUCUUGACCUGGGCACUAACUCUGGACAAGCCUGACCUCCAGAAUCAGGGUGACAAAAUGUAACCACAUUUAGAUAGACACACACUAAAGAAAAAGAACAGGAGAGAAGAAAUUGCCCAAGAGAAUAUAGAAAGAUUUCCCCAGAAUUGAGGACCACCGCAUCCAAAUUAAAAAGGCAGUUUGAGUGUCAAACACAAUGAGUGAAAAGAUCACACCAUAUUGAAAUGUCGAAACUGCAGAAAGAGAAGAUGCCAGAGAUGUCCACGGAGGAAACAAAGGAAUGGAGUCAGAAAUCAGAAUGGCAAAACUAAAGGUUGCUCAUAAAAUCUCGAAGUCUGGGAGUCCCUGUGAUAGCUUUACAAUGACUCUGGAAAAAACCUUGAGAAUCCUCCAAAGCUGUUUUCCAUAUAAGACAGUCCCUGCUCAGAUCCCUGGGCUUUGCUGUUCUAUACUCUCCAGGAAGCUACAGCAGGAGGCAGGGAGGCCAGGACCCUCACCUCCACUCAAAUACCAACAUGCAGGACAGAUGGAAAGCCGGCCUCAGCUCAACCAAAGCUACAGGGAGGGCACCCCAUCAUGCAAACCAGUAAGGAAGCAGCCUCACCUAGCCACCUGCUAUUCCCUCCCCACCCACUUGUUGUAAGCCUUCUAGAAUAAAAUGGAUAUGAAGCUUUAA